GACGAACGCUGGCGGCGUGCUUAACACAUGCAAGUCGAACGGAAAGGCCCUGCUUUUGUGGGGUGCUCGAGUGGCGAACGGGUGAGUAACACGUGAGUAACCUGCCCUUGACUUUGGGAUAACUUCAGGAAACUGGGGCUAAUACCGGAUAGGAGCUCCUGCUGCAUGGUGGGGGUUGGAAAGUUUCGGCGGUUGGGGAUGGACUCGCGGCUUAUCAGCUUGUUGGUGGGGUAGUGGCUUACCAAGGCUUUGACGGGUAGCCGGCCUGAGAGGGUGACCGGCCACAUUGGGACUGAGAUACGGCCCAGACUCCUACGGGAGGCAGCAGUGGGGAAUAUUGCACGAUGGGCGGAAGCCUUAUGCAGCAACGCCGCGUGCGGGAUGACGGCCUUCGGGUUGUAAACCGCUUUCGCCUGUGACGAAGCGUGAGUGACGGUAAUGGGUAAAGAAGCACCGGCUAACUACGUG
Molecule: ribosomal RNA, 468 nt
Filed under: uncultured bacterium
Lineage: Bacteria
Description: partial 16S ribosomal RNA
Rfam family: Bacterial small subunit ribosomal RNA
Source: RNAcentral